AGGAGGGGGGGAGAGAGAAGCG
RNAcentral lists this microRNA (22 nucleotides) under Apis mellifera (honey bee). RNAcentral describes it as "ame-miR-3776-5p". Lineage: Eukaryota; Metazoa; Arthropoda; Insecta; Hymenoptera; Apidae. The record is from miRBase by way of RNAcentral.